UGACAACCGCUCCCAGCCUCUCCCACAUGGCCAGCUCCGCGUCCCGGGCUGCGAAGCCCCCGCCUCCUCCGCCUCCGCCGGUGACGACGGGGGCGGCAGGUGGGGCAGCGACCUCCACGACUCUGGGGCCAUCUGCAGCCAAGCGGCCGCUCCUCCGUUGGUCGCCGCCUCGGCCCUCAGCUGCCGCUCGGAUCCAUCUGCG
RNAcentral lists this unclassified non-coding RNA (202 nucleotides) under Hevea brasiliensis (rubber tree). The record is from RNAcentral. Lineage: Eukaryota; Viridiplantae; Streptophyta; Magnoliopsida; Malpighiales; Euphorbiaceae.